Long non-coding RNA from Aquila chrysaetos chrysaetos, 1051 nucleotides. RefSeq lists it as uncharacterized. The transcript is spliced from 3 exons. Lineage: Eukaryota; Metazoa; Chordata; Aves; Accipitriformes; Accipitridae. The record is from RefSeq and is a predicted model, not a curated record.
UCAGAAAGGGCAGGGCCGGCCCGACCCGACGCGCCCGGCCGUGCGUUGCCAGGCCGGCGUGCGUGUUCUCCGGCCCGCGCUCGCUCGGGCAUUGGUUUGUAGUCUCGGGGCCAGCGGUGGCUCGGCUUUCCAGGACGGCCACUAGCCCUGGUGCCUUAGGGGCUUUGGACCCCCUCUGGCCUGUGGCCAUUGCCCUCCUGGCCGCUGCCGUGUUGUUUCUCACAAGCUGCUUAGACUGGAAGUCGGUCAGAAGAUCUGAGACUAGGGGUAAUGCAAACCUCCUUCUGAAGAGCAGCCGUUCAGACUGUUGUGUGGUGCCAAGUAGUAGGACACCAGGCAAGUCACAGAUGCCAGCGGCAGCCAGAAUAGGGUAACCAGCAUAGUCAGUGCACUGUCUUCAGCAAGCUCUCCUGAAGGGGGUGAAGUUUGACUCAUUUUGUGAUGAAUACAGAAGCUACAGCCUGUCUUAGGGUGAGAAACUGUUGUCGGGUGUCUGCCGGGUACAACCGCCUUGGUAGCUCCUGCACUCCCACUGUAGGUCACAAGAUGGGGUAUGACUACCCGGAAAGAUGACUGCCCAAGUAAGGGAAUAUUUUUUCUGCUUUAUAGGUUGACUUUGCUCUUUGAGGAGCCUGGCGGAAAGCAUUCCCUCAAAGUCCACAGGAAGAAGAAACGGAAAAGGAAAGCCUUCGUCUUUGCCGUAAAACGGAAGUGACUCGUCAGCCCUGGUGUCCCGCAGGCACCCAACUGGGCUCCAGACUGGAAGGUGCCCACAGGAGGGGAUCUCGCGCUUGUCUCGAGACUGAAAUCACUCACGCUUGAGCCUCGUGAGCUGUUGGUAACAGCACCCGAGGAGAUGCGGUGGUGGCAAUGGUUAUCUAGCUUCUCAGCUGGAUGUUGGUUUGGAGCCCUUGGGGCAUCCUGCAGGUAAGUUCUCAAUGUCCCUCUCCUUGAAAGAAUCAACCUUGACCAUGUGGCAAGAGCUUAUUCCUGUGCAGUUUUCCUUAAGAUCCUCUCAAGGUCAACAGCUUCCUGACUUCUUGGUCUACUC